GCCGUGUAACAAUAGCGCAACAUGAAAGUCGGCGGCGUCACAGGGCCAAGCCCUAAUGGACGCUCCUGUGCAACUGUGUCUCCUCAGCAGUCCAGGUCGACUAACCUUCAAGUCCUUGUCACUCUCCAACAGCACAUGUACAAAGGAGGCUAUUGUUCAGGAUCAGGGUCUAUGACCUCUUGAAAUGAAGUGCACAGGGCCGCUGGCGAUGAGAGGGCAGCCAUGCUGGAAAUGGAUGACUCAAGGUUUGGGAGAACAAGGAAGUGUAGAGACACUGAUUUUAAGACAGCAGCUGUGGAUGUCAGUACAUGGAUUGUGGUCUGGAUCCUUCACAGGUCUUUUCCAGGAGACCAUCUGUGAGGAACCAUCAAAAUAAAGCAGGAUACACUUUGCCUUCC
Molecule: long non-coding RNA, 398 nt
Organism: Siniperca chuatsi (mandarin fish)
Lineage: Eukaryota; Metazoa; Chordata; Actinopteri; Centrarchiformes; Sinipercidae
Exons: 3
Source: RefSeq, a predicted model, not a curated record